This 22-nucleotide microRNA is filed under the name Ornithorhynchus anatinus (platypus). RNAcentral describes it as "Oan-Mir-15-P1d_3p (mature (co-guide))". The record is from RNAcentral. Lineage: Eukaryota; Metazoa; Chordata; Mammalia; Monotremata; Ornithorhynchidae.
CAAACCACGCUGUGUUGUUAGA